This 592-nucleotide ribosomal RNA is filed under the name fungal endophyte. RNAcentral describes it as "eukaryotic LSU rRNA". The stretch from base 187 to 340 matches the Rfam family "5.8S ribosomal RNA". Lineage: Eukaryota; Fungi. The record is from RNAcentral.
CGGAGGGAUCAUUACUGAGUUUACGCUCUAUAACCCUUUGUGAACAUACCUAUAACUGUUGCUUCGGCGGGUAGGGUCUCCGUGACCCUCCCGGCCUCCCGCCCCCGGGCGGGUCGGCGCCCGCCGGAGGAUAACCAAACUCUGAUUUAACGACGUUUCUUCUGAGUGGUACAAGCAAAUAAUCAAAACUUUUAACAACGGAUCUCUUGGUUCUGGCAUCGAUGAAGAACGCAGCGAAAUGCGAUAAGUAAUGUGAAUUGCAGAAUUCAGUGAAUCAUCGAAUCUUUGAACGCACAUUGCGCCCGCCAGCAUUCUGGCGGGCAUGCCUGUUCGAGCGUCAUUUCAACCCUCAAGCUCUGCUUGGUGUUGGGGCCCUACAGCUGAUGUAGGCCCUCAAAGGUAGUGGCGGACCCUCCCGGAGCCUCCUUUGCGUAGUAACUUUACGUCUCGCACUGGGAUCCGGAGGGACUCUUGCCGUAAAACCCCCAAUUUUCCAAAGGUUGACCUCGGAUCAGGUAGGAAUACCCGCUGAACUUAAGCAUAUCAAUAAGCGGAGGAAAAGAAACCAACAGGGAUUGCCUCAGUAACGGCG